This 71-nucleotide transfer RNA is filed under the name Cutaneotrichosporon cutaneum. Its description in RNAcentral is "tRNA-Arg". It matches the Rfam family "tRNA". Rfam says of the family: Transfer RNA (tRNA) molecules are approximately 80 nucleotides in length. Their secondary structure includes four short double-helical elements and three loops (D, anti-codon, and T loops). Lineage: Eukaryota; Fungi; Basidiomycota; Tremellomycetes; Trichosporonales; Trichosporonaceae. The record is from RNAcentral.
GGGGGUAUGGCAUAUUGGUUGUGCAUCUGACUUCUAAUCAGCUUAAACCAGUUCGAUUCUGGUUGCUUCCA